UACGUAGGGUGCAAGCGUUAAUCGGAAUUACUGGGCGUAAAGCGUGCGCAGGCGGUUUUGUAAGUCAGAUGUGAAAUCCCCGGGCUUAACCUGGGAACUGCACUUGUGACUGCACAGCUGGAGUACGGCAGAGGGGGAUGGAAUUCCGCGUGUAGCAGUGAAAUGCGUAGAUAUGCGGAGGAACACCGAUGGCGAAGGCAGUCCCCUGGGCCUGUACUGACGCUCAUGCACGAAAGCGUGGGGAGCAAACAGG
RNAcentral lists this ribosomal RNA (253 nucleotides) under uncultured bacterium. RNAcentral describes it as "partial 16S ribosomal RNA". It matches the Rfam family "Bacterial small subunit ribosomal RNA", at positions 524 to 776 of the family's 1533-position model. The record is from RNAcentral.